AGUGAACGCUGGCGGUAGGCCUAACACAUGCAAGUCGAACGGCAGCACAGUAAGAGCUUGCUCUUACGGGUGGCGAGUGGCGGACGGGUGAGGAAUACAUCGGAAUCUACUUUUUCGUGGGGGAUAACGUAGGGAAACUUACGCUAAUACCGCAUACGACCUACGGGUGAAAGCAGGGGAUCUUCGGACCUUGCGCGAUUGAAUGAGCCGAUGUCGGAUUAGCUAGUUGGCGGGGUAAAGGCCCACCAAGGCGACGAUCCGUAGCUAGCCUGAGAGGAUGAUCAGCCACACUGGAACUGAGACACGGUCCAGACUCCUACGGGAGGCAGCAGUGGGGAAUAUUGGACAAUGGGCGCAAGCCUGAUCCAGCCAUACCGCGUGGGUGAAGAAGGCCUUCGGGUUGUAAAGCCCUUUUGUUGGGAAAGAAAAGCAGCAGGUUAAUACCCCGCUGUUCUGACGGUACCCAAAGAAUAAGCACCGGCUAACUUCGUG
Molecule: ribosomal RNA, 492 nt
Filed under: uncultured bacterium
Lineage: Bacteria
Description: partial 16S ribosomal RNA
Rfam family: Bacterial small subunit ribosomal RNA
Source: RNAcentral